Molecule: small RNA, 174 nt
Filed under: Chrysemys picta bellii (western painted turtle)
Lineage: Eukaryota; Metazoa; Chordata; Testudines; Emydidae
Description: TUC338 (ENSCPBG00000016994.1)
Source: RNAcentral
UUGACUGCUCUGGAGAAAAAAAUCCUCACAUUAGCCACAGACCAGGAACCCAUGGAGAGUUCAAUGCAAGCUUCUCCACAGUGAAUCUACUAAUAUGCCUCAGCUCUAUUCAGGAGGAACCACCUUUAGGAUGACAAUGGUUCAGUUUCCAUUCCCAUUUAAUCUGUGUCCUCU